AUGUUUGUAGAAGGAGCUAUGCCAAGGCUCCAAACCCUCGAGGUUACAUUUCAGGUUCGCGAGGCGAAGGAUGAAUACAAUAAUUUUGAGGUCGGCUUGGAGAACCUCCAUUCUAUUAAGCUGGUCACAAUUCGAAUGCAUUGUUCUGGUUCCAGUCUCGUUGAGGUGGAGGAAGCUGAUGCUGCUAUGAGGAAGACAUCCCAUGUGAAUCCAAAACAUCCGAGGGUUGACGUGAUUACAUAUUAUGAAGAUGAAAUGAUAGAGGACGAGGAGAAAUCUCAACUCGAUGAGGAAGCAUUCAAAGAACAAGAGGUAUUAAUUAUUGUCUUCUUUAGUCGCACUAAAAUAAAAAGUACACGAUCCAAGUUAGUGUUCCAUUUUGUUACUUAUUCCUAA
This 396-nucleotide ribosomal RNA is filed under the name Triticum aestivum (bread wheat). Its description in RNAcentral is "partial small subunit ribosomal RNA". The record is from RNAcentral. Lineage: Eukaryota; Viridiplantae; Streptophyta; Magnoliopsida; Poales; Poaceae.